GCCGGGCGUGGUGGCGGGCGCCUGUAAUCCCAGCUACUCCGGAGGCUGAGGCGGGAGAAUCGCUUGAACCCGGGAGGCGGAGGUUGCAGUGAGCCGAGAUGGCGCCACCGCACUCCAGCCUGGGCAACAAAGCGAGACUCCAUCUCAA
Non-coding RNA from Nomascus leucogenys (northern white-cheeked gibbon), 148 nucleotides. It matches the Rfam family "Metazoan signal recognition particle RNA". Rfam says of the family: The signal recognition particle (SRP) is a universally conserved ribonucleoprotein. It is involved in the co-translational targeting of proteins to membranes. The eukaryotic SRP consists of a 300-nucleotide 7S RNA and six proteins: SRPs 72, 68, 54, 19, 14, and 9. The record is from Rfam. NCBI's taxonomy places the organism in Eukaryota, Metazoa, Chordata, Mammalia, Primates, Hylobatidae.